This is a non-coding RNA of Microcebus murinus (gray mouse lemur), 709 nucleotides long. NCBI's taxonomy places the organism in Eukaryota, Metazoa, Chordata, Mammalia, Primates, Cheirogaleidae. The record is from RefSeq and is a predicted model, not a curated record.
AUGAAGUCUGUAACCUAUCUUUGGGAAAUUCCAGAAAAAAAGCUGGUUUUCAGGGUGAUAAUGAAAACAUAAUUGAAGAAUCACACUUAAUUGCAUAAUGAUACAUGUUUGGAUUUGAUUACACACUACCUGUUAAGUACCUUGGAUGAUUAAAAACAUUAAGAUGAGAAUGGAAAAGUGCAAUACCAUAUUCCCUGCCUAACAUCAUGGUACCCACUCAAAGUGCUAUUAGUGAUGCUGGAAGUGGUCCCAAACAGCAGACAAAAGUCAUGUCAUUACAAGAAACAGUUGAAUUGCUUGGUGGAGGCAGACCAAGAUGGUCAAAUAUAACCCUCCAGUGAUCAUCCCCCCUCAGGAACACUAAAUUGAACAACUAUCUAUGCAAGAAAGAACAACCAUAAGAAUCAAAAAUCAGGUGAGUGGUCACAGUACCUGAUGUUAGCAUCACGUCAAGGAAAGAGGCUCUGAAGAGGGCAGGAAAGGCAAUUUUGCAUUUUCUAUGUCACCCCUUCCCCACCCCGUGGCAGCACUAUGCUAGCACUGGGUGAAGAGAGAAUCUGAGAAUCUGUGUGCUUGGGAGAGGGAGAGUAAAGUGAUUUAGGGACUAUGCAUUGGAACAUAGGUCUGGUGUGUCACAGAGAAACACAACACAGAGCAGAAUUCUGUCAGUGCCCAAGGAAGGAACAUUUAGACCAACCCUGAGUGAGGG